RNAcentral lists this ribosomal RNA (468 nucleotides) under uncultured bacterium. RNAcentral describes it as "partial 16S ribosomal RNA". It matches the Rfam family "Bacterial small subunit ribosomal RNA", at positions 28 to 507 of the family's 1533-position model. The record is from RNAcentral.
GACGAACGCUGGCGGCGUGCUUAACACAUGCAAGUCGAACGGAAAGGCCCUGCUUGCGUGGGGUGCUCGAGUGGCGAACGGGUGAGUAACACGAGAGUAACCUGCUCUUGACUUGGGGAUAACUUCAGGAAACGGGGGCUAAUACCGGAUAGGAGCCCCUGCUGCAUGGGGGGGGGUGGAAAGUUUCGGCGGUUGGGGAUGGACUCGCGGCUUAUCAGCUUGUUGGUGGGGUAGUGGCUUACCAAGGCUUUGACGGGUAGCCGGCCUGAGAGGGUGACCGGCCACAUUGGGACUGAGAUACGGCCCAGACUCCUACGGGAGGCAGCAGUGGGGAAUAUUGCACAAUGGGCGGAAGCCUGAUGCAGCAACGCCGCGUGCGGGAUGACGGCCUUCGGGUUGUAAACCGCUUUCGCCUGUGACGAAGCGUGAGUGACGGUAAUUGGUAAAGAAGCACCGGCUAACUACGUG